AGCGUACACGGUGGAUGCCCUGGCAGUCAGAGGCGAUGAAGGACGUGCUAAUCUGCGAUAAGCGCCGGUAAGGUGAUAUGAACCGUUAUAACCGGCGAUUUCCGAAUGGGGAAACCCAGUGUGAUUCGUCACACUAUCAUUAACUGAAUCCAUAGGUUAAUGAGGCGAACCGGGGGAACUGAAACAUCUAAGUACCCCGAGGAAAAGAAAUCAACCGAGAUUCCCCCAGUAGCGGCGAGCGAACGGGGAGGAGCCCAGAGCCUGAAUCAGCAUGUGUGUUAGUGGAAGCGUCUGGAAAGGUGCGCGAUACAGGGUGACAGCCCCGUACACAAAAGCGCAUGUGCUGUGAGCUCGAUGAGUAGGGCGGGACACGUGGUAUCCUGUCUGAAUAUGGGGGGACCAUCCUCCAAGGCUAAAUACUCCUGACUGACCGAUAGUGAACCAGUACCGUGAGGGAAAGGCGAAAAGAACCCCGGCGAGGGGAGUGAAAAAGAACCUGAAACCGUGUACGUACAAGCAGUGGGAGCACCCUUCGGGGUGUGACUGCGUACCUUUUGUAUAAUGGGUCAGCGACUUAUAUUCUGUAGCAAGGUUAACCGUAUAGGGGAGCCGGAGGGAAACCGAGUCUUAACCGGGCGUUAAGUUGCAGGGUAUAGACCCGAAACCCGGUGAUCUAGCCAUGGGCAGGUUGAAGGUUGGGUAACACUAACUGGAGGACCGAACCGACUAAUGUUGAAAAAUUAGCGGAUGACCUGUGGCUGGGGGUGAAAGGCCAAUCAAACCGGGAGAUAGCUGGUUCUCCCCGAAAGCUAUUUAGGUAGCGCCUCGUGAAUUCAUCUCCGGGGGUAGAGCACUGUUUCGGCUAGGGGGCCAUCCCGGCUUACCAACCCGAUGCAAACUGCGAAUACCGGAGAAUGUUAUCACGGGAGACACACGGCGGGUGCUAACGUCCGUCGUGAAGAGGGAAACAACCCAGACCGCCAGCUAAGGUCCCAAAGUCAUGGUUAAGUGGGAAACGAUGUGGGAAGGCCCAGACAGCCAGGAUGUUGGCUUAGAAGCAGCCAUCAUUUAAAGAAAGCGUAAUAGCUCACUGGUCGAGUCGGCCUGCGCGGAAGAUGUAACGGGGCUAAACCAUGCACCGAAGCUGCGGCAGCGAACGUAUCACUUAAAGCGAUUCAGCGGGUUACGAUUGACGGAGCGAAGCGACGUCAAAGCGUAUACAAAGUCGAGUCGGUUUAAGGAUACGUUCGUUGGGUAGGGGAGCGUUCUGUAAGCCCGUGAAGGUGGCCUGUGAGGGUUGCUGGAGGUAUCAGAAGUGCGAAUGCUGACAUAAGUAACGAUAAAGCGGGUGAAAAGCCCGCUCGCCGGAAGACCAAGGGUUCCUGUCCAACGUUAAUCGGGGCAGGGUGAGUCGACCCCUAAGGCGAGGCCGAAAGGCGUAGUCGAUGGGAAACGGGUUAAUAUUCCCGUACUUGGUGUUACUGCGAAGGGGGGACGGAGAAGGCUAUGUUGGCCGGGCGACGGUUGUCCCGGUUUAAGCGUGUAGGUGUGUGUUCCAGGUAAAUCCGGUUCACUUUAACACUGAGGCGUGAUGACGAGGCACUACGGUGCUGAAGCAACAAAUGCCCUGCUUCCAGGAAAAGCCUCUAAGCAUCAGGUAACAUCAAAUCGUACCCCAAACCGACACAGGUGGUCAGGUAGAGAAUACCAAGGCGCUUGAGAGAACUCGGGUGAAGGAACUAGGCAAAAUGGUGCCGUAACUUCGGGAGAAGGCACGCUGACACGUAGGUGAAGUGAUUUACUCACGGAGCUGAAGUCAGUCGAAGAUACCAGCUGGCUGCAACUGUUUAUUAAAAACACAGCACUGUGCAAACACGAAAGUGGACGUAUACGGUGUGACGCCUGCCCGGUGCCGGAAGGUUAAUUGAUGGGGUCAGCGCAAGCGAAGCUCCUGAUCGAAGCCCCGGUAAACGGCGGCCGUAACUAUAACGGUCCUAAGGUAGCGAAAUUCCUUGUCGGGUAAGUUCCGACCUGCACGAAUGGCGUAAUGAUGGCCAGGCUGUCUCCACCCGAGACUCAGUGAAAUUGAACUCGCUGUGAAGAUGCAGUGUACCCGCGGCAAGACGGAAAGACCCCGUGAACCUUUACUAUAGCUUGACACUGAACAUUGAGCCUUGAUGUGUAGGAUAGGUGGGAGGCUUUGAAGUGUGGACGCCAGUCUGCAUGGAGCCGACCUUGAAAUACCACCCUUUAAUGUUUGAUGUUCUAACGUGGACCCGUAAUCCGGGUUGCGGACAGUGUCUGGUGGGUAGUUUGACUGGGGCGGUCUCCUCCUAAAGAGUAACGGAGGAGCACGAAGGUUGGCUAAUCCUGGUCGGACAUCAGGAGGUUAGUGCAAUGGCAUAAGCCAGCUUGACUGCGAGCGUGACGGCGCGAGCAGGUGCGAAAGCAGGUCAUAGUGAUCCGGUGGUUCUGAAUGGAAGGGCCAUCGCUCAACGGAUAAAAGGUACUCCGGGGAUAACAGGCUGAUACCGCCCAAGAGUUCAUAUCGACGGCGGUGUUUGGCACCUCGAUGUCGGCUCAUCACAUCCUGGGGCUGAAGUAGGUCCCAAGGGUAUGGCUGUUCGCCAUUUAAAGUGGUACGCGAGCUGGGUUUAGAACGUCGUGAGACAGUUCGGUCCCUAUCUGCCGUGGGCGCUGGAGAACUGAGGGGGGCUGCUCCUAGUACGAGAGGACCGGAGUGGACGCAUCACUGGUGUUCGGGUUGUCAUGCCAAUGGCACUGCCCGGUAGCUAAAUGCGGAAGAGAUAAGUGCUGAAAGCAUCUAAGCACGAAACUUGCCCCGAGAUGAGUUCU
Molecule: ribosomal RNA, 2856 nt
Filed under: Salmonella enterica subsp. enterica serovar Typhimurium
Lineage: Bacteria; Pseudomonadati; Pseudomonadota; Gammaproteobacteria; Enterobacterales; Enterobacteriaceae
Description: bacterial LSU rRNA
Rfam family: Bacterial large subunit ribosomal RNA
Source: RNAcentral